AACGAACGCUGGCGGCAGGCUUAACACAUGCAAGUCGAACGCACUCUUCGGAGUGAGUGGCAGACGGGUGAGUAACACGUGGGAACGUGCCCUUUGGUUCGGAACAACUCAGGGAAACUUGAGCUAAUACCGGAUAAGCCCUUCGGGGGAAAGAUUUAUCGCCAAAGGAUCGGCCCGCGUCUGAUUAGCUAGUUGGUGAGGUAAUGGCUCACCAAGGCGACGAUCAGUAGCUGGUCUGAGAGGAUGAUCAGCCACACUGGGACUGAGACACGGCCCAGACUCCUACGGGAGGCAGCAGUGGGGAAUAUUGGACAAUGGGCGAAAGCCUGAUCCAGCCAUGCCGCGUGAGUGAUGAAGGCCUUAGGGUUGUAAAGCUCUUUUACCCGGGAAGAUAAUGACGGUACCGGGAGAAUAAGCCCCGGCUAACUUCGUGCCAGCCGCCGCCGUAACAC
RNAcentral lists this ribosomal RNA (452 nucleotides) under uncultured bacterium. RNAcentral's name for it is "bacterial SSU rRNA". It matches the Rfam family "Bacterial small subunit ribosomal RNA", at positions 29 to 526 of the family's 1533-position model. The record is from RNAcentral.